RNAcentral lists this ribosomal RNA (450 nucleotides) under uncultured bacterium. RNAcentral describes it as "partial 16S ribosomal RNA". It matches the Rfam family "Bacterial small subunit ribosomal RNA", at positions 354 to 796 of the family's 1533-position model. The record is from RNAcentral.
GUGGGGAAUUUUGGACAAUGGGCGCAAGCCUGAUCCAGCAAUGCCGCGUGCAGGAAGAAGGCCUUCGGGUUGUAAACUGCUUUUGUACGGAACGAAACGGUCCGGGUUAAUACCCUGGGCUAAUGACGGUACCGUAAGAAUAAGCACCGGCUAACUACGUGCCAGCAGCCGCGGUAAUACGUAGGGUGCAAGCGUUAAUCGGAAUUACUGGGCGUAAAGCGUGCGCAGGCGGUUUUGUGAGACAGGCGUGAAAUCCCCGGGCUCAACCUGGGAAUUGCGCUUGUGACUGCAAGGCUGGAGUGCGGCAGAGGGGGAUGGAAUUCCGCGUGUAGCAGUGAAAUGCGUAGAUAUGCGGAGGAACACCGAUGGCGAAGGCAAUCCCCUGGGCCUGCACUGACGCUCAUGCACGAAAGCGUGGGGAGCAAACAGGAUUAGAUACCCCAGUAGUCC